AACUUUUAGCAAUGGAUUUCUUGGCUCUCGCAUCGAUGAAGAACGCAGCGAAAUGCGAUAUGUAAUGUGAAUUGCAGAAUUCAGUGAAUCAUCGAAUCUUUGAACGCACCUUGCGCUCCUUGGUAUUCCGAGGGGCACACCCGUUUGAGUGUCGUGAAUAUCUCAACCUUCUCGGUUUCUUCUGGAUGCCGAAGGAGGCUUGGACUUUGGAGGCCUCUGCUGGCAUCUUUUGAAGGCCAGCUCCUCUCAAAUGAAUUAGCGGGGUCCUCUUUGCCAACCCUCGACAUGUGAUAAGAUGUUUCCAUGUCUUGGUUUAUGGCUCUGUUGCUUUUGGGACCCGCUUCUAAUCGUCUCAAUGACAACGUUCGAGCGUGUCGAACACUCUUGAACCCACGAACCCUUGACCUCAAAUCGGGUGAGACUACCCGC
RNAcentral lists this unclassified non-coding RNA (429 nucleotides) under uncultured Lactarius. Its description in RNAcentral is "sequence contains ITS2". The stretch from base 1 to 154 matches the Rfam family "5.8S ribosomal RNA". The record is from RNAcentral. Lineage: Eukaryota; Fungi; Basidiomycota; Agaricomycetes; Russulales; Russulaceae.